Bombus pascuorum is the source of this 1129-nucleotide long non-coding RNA. RefSeq lists it as uncharacterized. The transcript has 4 exons. NCBI's taxonomy places the organism in Eukaryota, Metazoa, Arthropoda, Insecta, Hymenoptera, Apidae. The record is from RefSeq and is a predicted model, not a curated record.
AGAUACAGAAAUUUCAUAAAUUUCAAAUUUCAAUUCUGAAUAUCUUUUAGAUAUUAGGCUAUAAACAUUGUGUGAAACAUUUCCACUUUUAUGGAGGGCGGCACGCUAUAAACUGUCUCCAUUGAAAUUAUCGCUUAAAGGUUGCGCAAUUAAUUAUUGGAAUAGUUACACGCGGGCACACGUACGUAUUAUCGCCUACGUUCAUUUUCGUCCACGCAUUGUUUAACACUACAGGAAACUAAAUAAACCGUCCAUUGAGAUAUAACAGGUUCAGUGAGAGAGAGAGAGUUUUUGCGUAGAAAAAGUAAACAGUUAAACGGGAGCAAGUUAAUAGUGAACAGAACCGCUGUAUCAAUGUAAAUCAAUAAAAUCGAUGAUGAAACACGGUCUGACUUGCUACUAUGUAUGGGUGACGAACGUCAAUCGGAUAUGUAAGCAGACGUAUUGUGACUACAAGUUGUGCAUUUUACGUGAUCACUUCCAGGGACCACAUACAGGGUGUGCCGCUAUGAAACGUAUGUGGAGCGUGCGAGGGCUAGGCACAGGCGCACCCACGAUAAAUAAGAUUUAAAUCUGUCAGUAUCCUUUUAUUUCGUUCGUUCAACAUUUACAGUAAUUGCUAAAUAGAGGAAAAGAUGCAUAACCAUAAGAAAAAAUCAAACAUGUGGGUGGCCAAAGAAUCAGCCGGUUGAAAAUUUACUCGUUCUACAAUUUGAAUACUAAAUAUACGUAUAAUUCAUUACUCUAUGGGAAUGUCCUUGUCAGGUCUAAGGCGGCAAACUGGAUAUCAGGAUCAAUAAAGAUAUUGGUGGUAGGUAUAGGACUGAACCAAUGCAGGACUCACCGACAAGAUCAAUAAGCAGCGUAAGCGGACCCUUCUUCGCAGGGCAUUCAAUGCUUUCUUAUAAACGCCCUUUCAUGUCGCCUUUAUACUGGUCCUAUCCUUACAAAAAUCCAGGUGUCUGCUAUUGCAAGAGUGGCCUGUACAUAACAUGCACAGUACAUACAUAUAUACGAAGUCGUCAACGAGAAAUAUUCGUAAAUAAGAUUGUACCUUGUAAAAACAACAACUGCGUCGUAUAUACUUGAUCUAUAGUGCUAAUUUUUAUAAAAAUAUACUAAAUUGGUA